UCUCACUUCCCACACCUGUGUCAGUUCCCUUGCUGAGGGACUCACUAUGUUCCAGGACCUGGUUCCCCAGCCUCUGCCUACGGUGUCUGGAUUCAGCAGGUUGACCCAUGACAGAGGACAGGGGCAGAAUCCAGGUUUUGGCGAAUCAUGGUGCUUCACUGGAGGGAUGACUGCACCCUGCUCCCAGACUCCCUUCUCCCCCUCUGUGCUGCGGGAGACUCUGAUCUUGAACCCUGCAC
Alligator sinensis (Chinese alligator) is the source of this 239-nucleotide long non-coding RNA. RefSeq lists it as uncharacterized. NCBI's taxonomy places the organism in Eukaryota, Metazoa, Chordata, Crocodylia, Alligatoridae. The record is from RefSeq and is a predicted model, not a curated record. The transcript has 3 exons.